GAUGAACGCUGGCGGCGUGCCUAAUACAUGCAAGUCGAGCGAACGGACGAGAAGCUUGCUUCUCUGAUGUUAGCGGCGGACGGGUGAGUAACACGUGGAUAACCUACCUAUAAGACUGGGAUAACUUCGGGAAACCGGAGCUAAUACCGGAUGAUAUUUUGAACCGCAUGGUUCAAAAGUGAAAGACGGUCUUGCUGUCACUUAUAGAUGGAUCCGCGCUGCAUUAGCUAGUUGGUAAGGUAACGGCUUACCAAGGCAACGAUGCAUAGCCGACCUGAGAGGGGGAUAGGCCACCUGGGAACUGAGACACGGUCCAGACUCCUACGGUAGGCACCAGUAGGGAAUCUUCCGCAAUGGGCGAAAGCCUGACGGAGCAACGCCGCGUGAGUGAUGAAGGUCUUCGGAUCGUAAAACUCUGUUAUUAGGGAAGAACAUAUGUGUAAGUAACUGUGCACAUCUUGACGGUACCUAAUCAGAAAGCCACGGCUAACUACGUG
RNAcentral lists this ribosomal RNA (497 nucleotides) under uncultured bacterium. RNAcentral describes it as "partial 16S ribosomal RNA". It matches the Rfam family "Bacterial small subunit ribosomal RNA", at positions 28 to 507 of the family's 1533-position model. The record is from RNAcentral.